GAGAGCGCAGUAUAAUGAAGAGUUGUAUGUUGCGUUCGGCAAGGAUGAAUCGCUUCAAAAAGAAAAUUUAUUGAUUCUCUCCCAAUUGGUUAGAUCGUAGAUGUGACGAUUUACUUUAA
This is a non-coding RNA of Capsicum annuum, 119 nucleotides long. NCBI's taxonomy places the organism in Eukaryota, Viridiplantae, Streptophyta, Magnoliopsida, Solanales, Solanaceae. The record is from Rfam.